GAUGAACGCUGGCGGCGUGCCUAAUACAUGCAAGUAGAACGCUGAAGGAAGGAGCUUGCUCUUUCCGGAUGAGUUGCGAACGGGUGAGUAACGCGUAGGUAACCUGCCUGGUAGCGGGGGAUAACUAUUGGAAACGAUAGCUAAUACCGCAUAACAGUAGAUGUUGCAUGAUAUCUACUUAAAAGGUGCAAUUGCACCACUACCAGAUGGACCUGCGUUGUAUUAGCUAGUUGGUGAGGUAACGGCUCACCAGGGCGACGAUACAUAGCCGACCUGAGAGGGUGAUCGGCCACACUGGGACUGAGACACGGCCCAGACUCCUACGGGAGGCAGCAGUAGGGAAUCUUCGGCAAUGGACGGAAGUCUGACCGAGCAACGCCGCGUGAGUGAAGAAGGUUGUCGGAUCGUAAAGCUCUGUUGUAAGAGAAGAACGAGUGUGAGAGUGGAAAGUUCACACUGUGACGGUAGCUUACCAGAAAGGGACGGCUAACUACGUG
This 497-nucleotide ribosomal RNA is filed under the name uncultured bacterium. RNAcentral's name for it is "partial 16S ribosomal RNA". It matches the Rfam family "Bacterial small subunit ribosomal RNA", at positions 28 to 507 of the family's 1533-position model. The record is from RNAcentral.